Molecule: ribosomal RNA, 468 nt
Filed under: uncultured bacterium
Lineage: Bacteria
Description: partial 16S ribosomal RNA
Rfam family: Bacterial small subunit ribosomal RNA
Source: RNAcentral
GACGAACGCUGGCGGCGUGCUUAACACAUGCAAGUCGAACGGAAAGGCCCUGCUUUUGUGGGGUGCUCGAGUGGCGAACGGGUGAGUAACACGUGAGUAACCUGCCCUUGACUUUGGGAUAACUUCAGGACACUGGGGCUAAUCCCGGCUAGGAGCUCCCGCUGCUUGGUGGGGGUUGGAAAGUUUCGGCGGUUGGGGAUGGACUAGCGGCUUAUCAGGUUGGUGGGGGGGUAGUGGCUUACCAAGGCUUUGACGGGUAGCCGACCUGAGAGGGUGACAGGACACACUGGGACGGGGAUACGGCCCAGACUACAACGGGAGGCAGAGGUGGGGAAUAUUGCACAAUGGGCGGAAGCCUGAUGCAACAACGCCGCGUGCGGGAUGACGGCCUGCGGGUUGUAAACCGCUGUCGCCUGUGACGAAGCGUUAGUGACGGUAAUGGGUAAAGAAGCACCGGCUAACUACGUG